RNAcentral lists this ribosomal RNA (430 nucleotides) under Pseudomonadota bacterium. RNAcentral's name for it is "Proteobacteria bacterium partial 16S ribosomal RNA". It matches the Rfam family "Bacterial small subunit ribosomal RNA", at positions 355 to 776 of the family's 1533-position model. The record is from RNAcentral. Lineage: Bacteria; Pseudomonadati; Pseudomonadota.
UGGGGAAUAUUGGACAAUGGGGGGAACCCUGAUCCAGCCAUGCCGCGUGUGUGAAGAAGGCCUUAUGGUUGUAAAGCACUUUAAGCGAGGAGGAGGGUACUGGUAUUAAUACUACCAGGUACUGGACGUUACUCGCAGAAUAAGCACCGGCUAACUCUGUGCCAGCAGCCGCGGUAAUACAGAGGGUGCGAGCGUUAAUCGGAUUUACUGGGCGUAAAGCGUGCGUAGGCGGCUAAUUGAGUCGGAUGUGAAAUCCCCGAGAUUAACGUGGGAAUUGCAUUCGAGACUGGUUAGCUAGAGGGUGGGAGAGGAUGGUAGAAUUCCAGGUGUAGCGGUGAAAUGCGUAGAGAUCUGGAGGAAUACCGAUGGCGAAGGCAGCCAUCUGGCCUAACACUGACGCUGAGGAACGAAAGCAUGGGGAGCAAACAGG